UACGAAGGGGGCUAGCGUUGCUCGGAAUCACUGGGCGUAAAGCGCACGUAGGCGGACUCUUAAGUCGGUGGUGAAAUCCUGGAGCUCAACUCCAGAACUGCCUUCGAUACUGAGAGUCUCGAGUCCGGGAGAGGUGAGUGGAACUGCGAGUGUAGAGGUGAAAUUCGUAGAUAUUCGCAAGAACACCAGUGGCGAAGGCGGCUCACUGGCCCGGUACUGACGCUGAGGUGCGAAAGCGUGGGGAGCAAACAAGG
This 254-nucleotide ribosomal RNA is filed under the name uncultured bacterium. Its description in RNAcentral is "partial 16S ribosomal RNA". It matches the Rfam family "Bacterial small subunit ribosomal RNA", at positions 524 to 777 of the family's 1533-position model. The record is from RNAcentral.